UAACGAAUCUUCCACAAUGCACGAAAGUGUGAUGGAGCGACGCCGAGUGUGGGACGAAGUCCUUCGGGAUGUAAACCACUGUCAGGGGAAAGAAAGAUCUGAUCUACCCCAGAGGAAGUGGCGACUAACUCUGUGCCAGCAGUCGCGGUAAUACAGAGGCCACAAGCGUUAGACGGAAUCACUGGGCUUAAAGCGUGUGUAGGCGGGAUGGUAAGUACCUUGUGAAAUCCCACGGCUUAACCGUGGAAUUGCUUGGUAUACUGCCGUUCUUGAGUCAUCUAGGGGCAGCCGGAACAGAUGGUGGAGCGGUGAAAUGCAUAGAUAUCAUCUGGAACGCCAAUGGUGCAGACAGGCUGCUGGGGAUGUACUGACGCUGAGGCACGAAAGCCAGGGGAGCAAACGG
This 403-nucleotide ribosomal RNA is filed under the name uncultured bacterium. RNAcentral describes it as "bacterial SSU rRNA". It matches the Rfam family "Bacterial small subunit ribosomal RNA", at positions 355 to 775 of the family's 1533-position model. The record is from RNAcentral.